Molecule: non-coding RNA, 790 nt
Organism: Aegilops tauschii subsp. strangulata
Lineage: Eukaryota; Viridiplantae; Streptophyta; Magnoliopsida; Poales; Poaceae
Source: RefSeq, a predicted model, not a curated record
CCCUCUUCACCCCACGGUCCCCUCCAUUGUUCCCCUUCCCCUCCAUUGUUCCCCUUCCCCUUCGCCUCCAUCAGUCUCGAAAAUUGCUCCAAACGCAAGUUGCCAUGGCAAGCCUGGCGAAGCCUAGUCCAGAUUUGAGCUACUUGCAGAUUUAAAGGGUACAAAAAAAACAAAAGCAGGAUGGAACAAGGAAACAGAGGGAAUCCCUGGUUCUACGGCUCACUACAAGUACCCCCGUGGAGUGCACGGGAUUACGAGGAACUAAACUCGAAUGGACCUUUGCUGCACUCCUGCAGCAGUACAUGGACAUAGGUGGAAUCGACACAUCCGCAUCUGCCACGAUGUGCUGACCAAAAGAACAAGGAAUGCCUAGUGGCAGCACACACACAAUACAACAACAAUAGCUGCCAAGGGCAAUAUGUGGUGAGCUGGAAAUUUUAAGAAGAAUACAUAUCCUUAGUUAAAAAAUGAAAGUUUUGCAAACACGAAAACUUAUGGUUGAUAAAAAAAUGCAGGAGCAAAAGAUGAUGUCGUGGAAAGGACAGGGAUGGCAGUGACGCCUACAUCGUGGUACGCAGGUGAGGAUUCUUGUAGCUUAAGUAACGUGCCAUGUGACUGUGACUACACUUGUCAUGACUGGGCCAAAAAAAGCUGAAUUAGAAUUUAGUUCCAGAAAAAAAGAAAUAAAAAUGAAUGUUCCUCGAUGGAACUUGCCAUGUGUUAGUGAUACAACUCAUUGUAGGCAUUAUAUUGAAAUUGAAAAAAAAUGAGAAUUAUGGGAGAACUUGCA